RNAcentral lists this ribosomal RNA (495 nucleotides) under uncultured bacterium. RNAcentral's name for it is "partial 16S ribosomal RNA". It matches the Rfam family "Bacterial small subunit ribosomal RNA", at positions 28 to 505 of the family's 1533-position model. The record is from RNAcentral.
GAUGAACGCUGGCGGCGUGCCUAAUACAUGCAAGUCGAGCGAACAGACGAGGAGCUUGCUCCUCUGACGUUAGCGGCGGACGGGUGAGUAACACGUGGAUAACCUACCUAUAAGACUGGGAUAACUUCGGGAAACCGGAGCUAAUACCGGAUAAUAUAUUGAACCGCAUGGUUCAAUAGUGAAAGACGGUUUUGCUGUCACUUAUAGAUGGAUCCGCGCCGCAUUAGCUAGUUGGUAAGGUAACGGCUUACCAAGGCGACGAUGCGUAGCCGACCUGAGAGGGUGAUCGGCCACACUGGAACUGAGACACGGUCCAGACUCCUACGGGAGGCAGCAGUAGGGAAUAUUCCGCAAUGGGCGAAAGCCUGACGGAGCAACGCCGCGUGAGGGAUGAAGGUCUUCGGAUCGUAAAACUCUGUUAUUAGGGAAGAACAAAUGUGUAAGUAACUAUGCACGUCUUGACGGUACCUAAUCAGAAAGCCACGGCUAACUACG